AACGGAGUAAGCCGAAAACCGAUUAAAGUAGGCA
Molecule: non-coding RNA, 34 nt
Filed under: Psychroflexus torquis ATCC 700755
Lineage: Bacteria; Pseudomonadati; Bacteroidota; Flavobacteriia; Flavobacteriales; Flavobacteriaceae
Source: RNAcentral